This 142-nucleotide unclassified non-coding RNA is filed under the name uncultured Cistella. RNAcentral's name for it is "sequence contains ITS2". Lineage: Eukaryota; Fungi; Ascomycota; Leotiomycetes; Helotiales; Hyaloscyphaceae. The record is from RNAcentral.
UAACCCUCAAGCCUAGCUUGGUGUUGGGGCAUGCCUUUGGGCAGCCCUUAAAAUCAGUGGCAGUGCCUGUCGGCUCUAAGCGUAGUAAUUUCUCUCGCUAUAGGGUCCGGUAGAACACGCGCCAGAACCCCCAACUUUCUAU